GCCGGAGUGGCGAAAUUGGUAGACGCGCACGACUCAAAAUCGUGUCUCGCAAGGGGUGAGAGUUCAAUUCUCUCCUCCGGCACAA
RNAcentral lists this transfer RNA (85 nucleotides) under Candidatus Nomurabacteria bacterium RIFCSPLOWO2_01_FULL_39_17. RNAcentral's name for it is "tRNA-Leu". It matches the Rfam family "tRNA". From Rfam's summary of the family: Transfer RNA (tRNA) molecules are approximately 80 nucleotides in length. Their secondary structure includes four short double-helical elements and three loops (D, anti-codon, and T loops). The record is from RNAcentral. Lineage: Bacteria; Candidatus Nomuraibacteriota.